This 453-nucleotide ribosomal RNA is filed under the name uncultured Bordetella sp. RNAcentral's name for it is "bacterial SSU rRNA". It matches the Rfam family "Bacterial small subunit ribosomal RNA", at positions 923 to 1382 of the family's 1533-position model. The record is from RNAcentral. Lineage: Bacteria; Pseudomonadati; Pseudomonadota; Betaproteobacteria; Burkholderiales; Alcaligenaceae.
GCACAAGCGGUGGAUGAUGUGGAUUAAUUCGAUGCAACGCGAAAACCUUACCUACCCUUGACAUGUCUGGAAUCCGAAGAGAUUUGGGAGUGCUCGCAAGAGAACCGGAACACAGGUGCUGCAUGGCUGUCGUCAGCUCGUGUCGUGAGAUGUUGGGUUAAGUCCCGCAACGAGCGCAACCCUUGUCAUUAGUUGCUACGAAAGGGCACUCUAAUGAGACUGCCGGUGACAAACCGGAGGAAGGUGGGGAUGACGUCAAGUCCUCAUGGCCCUUAUGGGUAGGGCUUCACACGUCAUACAAUGGUCGGGACAGAGGGUCGCCAACCCGCGAGGGGGAGCCAAUCCCAGAAACCCGAUCGUAGUCCGGAUUGUAGUCUGCAACUCGACUACAUGAAGUCGGAAUCGCUAGUAAUCGCGGAUCAGCAUGUCGCGGUGAAUACGUUCCCGGGUCUU